RNAcentral lists this ribosomal RNA (378 nucleotides) under uncultured bacterium. Its description in RNAcentral is "bacterial SSU rRNA". It matches the Rfam family "Bacterial small subunit ribosomal RNA", at positions 29 to 409 of the family's 1533-position model. The record is from RNAcentral.
AACGAACGCUGGCGGCAUGCCUUACACAUGCAAGUCGAACGGCAGCACGGGAGCAAUCCUGGUGGCGAGUGGCGAACGGGUGAGUAAUAUAUCGGAACGUGCCCAGUCGUGGGGGAUAACGUAGCGAAAGCUACGCUAAUACCGCAUACGAUCUAUGGAUGAAAGCGGGGGGAUCGCAAGACCUCGCGCGAUUGGAGCGGCCGAUAUCAGAUUAGGUAGUUGGUGAGGUAAAGGCUCACCAAGCCGACGAUCUGUAGCUGGUCUGAGAGGACGACCAGCCACACUGGGACUGAGACACGGCCAGACUCCUACGGGAGGCAGCAGUGGGGAAUUUUGGACAAUGGGCGCAAGCCUGAUCCAGCAAUGCGCGUGCAGGAU